AUCGGUGGAUCUGGUACUGGGGGCCAGCGGGAGCGGCCGUGAGCAAAAAUCCCGCCGGAUAGACCACACCCGUGUUUACCUACUCUUGUUGCUUUGGCGGGCCGUGGCCUCCACUACGGGCGCUGCUCGUACGUGCCCGCCAGAGGACCAAACUCUGAAUUAUAGUGAUGUCUGAGUACUAUCUAAUAGUUAAAACUUUCAACAACGGAUCUCUUGGUUCUGGCAUCGAUGAAGAACGCAGCGAAAUGCGAUAAGUAAUGUGAAUUGCAGAAUUCAGUGAAUCAUCGAAUCUUUGAACGCACAUUGCGCCCUGUGGUAUUCCGCAGGGCAUGCCUGUUCGAGCGUCAUUUAGACCACUCACGCCUGGCGUGGUAUUGGGGCACGCGGUUCCGCGGCCCUCAAAAUCAGUGGCGGCGCCGGUAGGCCCUAAGCGUAGUAAAUCUCCUCGCUAUAGGGUUCUCUCGGUGGCUCGCCAGAACCCCCAACUUCUCAAGGUUGACCUCGGAUCAGGUAGGGAUACCCGCUGAACUAA
RNAcentral lists this ribosomal RNA (532 nucleotides) under Phialocephala dimorphospora. RNAcentral's name for it is "partial contains internal transcribed spacer 1, 5.8S ribosomal RNA, internal transcribed spacer 2 and large subunit ribosomal RNA". The stretch from base 194 to 347 matches the Rfam family "5.8S ribosomal RNA". The record is from RNAcentral. Lineage: Eukaryota; Fungi; Ascomycota; Leotiomycetes; Helotiales; Mollisiaceae.